UGGGGAAUAUUGGACAAUGGGCCACAAGCCUGAUCCAGCAAUUCUGUGUGCACGAUGAAGGUCUUCGGAUUGUAAAGUGCUUUCAGUUGGGAAGAAGAAAGUGACGGUACCAACAGAAGAAGCGACGGCUAAAUACGUGCCAGCAGCCGCGGUAAUACGUAUGUCGCAAGCGUUAUCCGGAUUUAUUGGGCGUAAAGCGCGUCUAGGCGGAAAAAUAAGUCUGAUGUUAAAAUGCGGGGCUCAACUCCGUAUUGCGUUGGAAACUGUUUUUCUAGAGUACUGGAGAGGUGGGCGGAACUACAAGUGUAGAGGUGAAAUUCGUAGAUAUUUGUAGGAAUGCCGAUGGAGAAGUCAGCUCACUGGACAGAUACUGACGCUAAAGCGCGAAAGCGUGGGGAGC
Molecule: ribosomal RNA, 400 nt
Filed under: uncultured bacterium
Lineage: Bacteria
Description: bacterial SSU rRNA
Rfam family: Bacterial small subunit ribosomal RNA
Source: RNAcentral